Molecule: ribosomal RNA, 215 nt
Filed under: uncultured soil bacterium
Lineage: Bacteria
Description: partial 16S ribosomal RNA
Rfam family: Bacterial small subunit ribosomal RNA
Source: RNAcentral
AGGACGAACGCUGGCGGCGUGCUUAACACAUGCAAGUCGAACGGUAAGGCCCCUUCGGGGGUACACGAGUGGCGAACGGGUGAGUAACACGUGGGUAAUCUGCCCUGCACUUCGGGAUAAGCCUGGGAAACUGGGUCUAAUACCGGAUAUGAACUCCUGCCGCAUGGUGGGGGUUGGAAAGUUUUUCGGNGCAGGAUGAGCCCGCGGCCUAUCAG